This is a long non-coding RNA of Gallus gallus (chicken), 2033 nucleotides long. NCBI's taxonomy places the organism in Eukaryota, Metazoa, Chordata, Aves, Galliformes, Phasianidae. The record is from Ensembl.
AUGCCUGCUAUAAAGGGCUGAGGAGGAACUUCUUCACUUCAAUCAAAUCUGGAAACAAAAAAGAGCCUCCAACCAUCCUUCUUCUGACCUCAGUGGGUAUCCUGCCUUUGCAAGGUACCAUCAUGUCUUAAAUUGAGUAAGGCACUGAGAGAUCUACAUGGCUUGGCAGCUGUUCCUUCUGUCUCUCCAACUCAACCCACCUUACUGAGUUGCUCCUGUUUCUACUUCUGUUAGUGAAUGAGGGAUCAGUACUUUGCCCCCACAGUUUCUUCAGGAGUACCUUGUCCUAAAACAAAACCAAAUCUGGAAGGAGUAGAAUUUUCUGCUGGGACUUGGUAACAUUUCAUGGACAAGGAGGAUGUGACUCAUGCUGCUCAUGACUGCUGGAACCUAUAACCUCCUUUUCUCUUGGACUGAUACAAUGAUCUUCACUUUGAAAGAAGAAACAGAGACAUUUUUAACAGCAGAGAGACUUCACAAGUACUGGGAUGUUGAAAACCCAUCUCUGGCCCACCAGUGAAAAUAAUGACUCCUGCUAUUUUGGGUUCUGUGGAGCUAAGAUGAAGUAUCAAAAAAAGAUUCCGAUGUUUUCUGAUACCAUCGUGCUCCUUGGCAUAGGAGGGAUGAAUGGAACAGAAGCUCAUAUGUGGAAGAUGACUGAUUUUUGUAGCAUUGCAGGCAGGAGCUGCCAGCAGGGAAGCUAAUACAUGAGGGGCUGAGGAGUGAGUGCUUGAGGAGGAAACCAUCUAGAUCUCUUAGACAGCUCAUUCCUCACUGCGCCCCCACAGAACUUGACCACACCACUCAAGGAUGGACUCUAUAACUGUUUCCGUAAGCAAGAAUGCCUGCCAUGUGACUACAGAAGAAUCCAAGCAGCUGAGUUAAAAUUUUCAUUAUUUUUAAACAGUUGCAUAAGCCAUAAGUACUUUUCUUCUGGACUCCUGGACCUGAUGGUUUGCAGUCACAGUGCUGGAUGGACAGUUACUUGCUGCAGGAUCUUCCAGAGGCUCCACUGAUAUUAUCACAUCUGAAAGCACAGCACCUUAUCCUUAACAUUCUCCAAUUCUGCCCAAUUUCAAAAUGAAUAGUUGGAGAGUUUCUGAGCUUCUCCUUUCUUUUUGCUCAAGAAACGUUAUAGGAAAUGAAAUAUAAAAUCAUAUCAGCAUCUAAUCAAAUUCCCAGCCCCUUUUCAUUUUCAAAGCAUUCCCUACACUUAGCUGCGCAGUCUUGCUGAGAUAAAAUGUGGGCUGUGCAACUCCAUCUCUCUGUGGGACAUUAUUCUAUUGCUUUGAUGAUAGCCUUCAGAGCUUCUAUCGCUACCCCAUGACUUAAAAUACAUUUGCUGCAGGGUCAGGCUCCCAUCUGCUUUGCUCUUGGCAGCUGAAGUCAGCUUACUACAGAAACAAAGGUGGGGGGACGAAACAGGAAAGGAAAGCAUAAUGGUUAAAUGUUUUGUCCUUUCUGUUAGAUGUGAGGUCAUUUGCUGAAUAGGCAGCAAAACUGUCCCUGUUCUCUGCAUGGAUGCCAACAUGGGCCAACUGGGGAAGAAACAUAUAGUUCACAGAGAAGUCACUUCUUGUUCUUCUGAAAAGCAAAAUGUUUACACUGCAGGAGAAAUAGAUUUGCCAGAAGUUGGAGCCAUUCAAUGAAGAAAUUAAUUUAAACUAAGACUGCAUUUUCCAGUUUUGAUAAAGACUUUUCAACCUGCUACUUGCUUCAGCUACUUCUUGAAAACAAAACUAAACUAACACUGAUUACUGCAGUGAUGUUUUAAAGAUCUAGAAAUGAGAACUUAUCUCCCUUUUAUAUAGGAGAUGCAUUUCAUUUUUACAUAUCAGUUAAAUGUACCCUAUAUUCCUACAUUUUAUUCAAAAUCAUGUCAACUUGUGACCCAAGCACUGAUAGCUUAGCACAUGUAAAUUCCCUGGAAUUAUGGAUGUAUUUUUGUUUAUGCUGCUCGUUUCUUACUCCUAGCUGGAGAAAGUCACCUAGAACUUAGCAUUACCUUUGAGUUUCUUGGCUCCCACUAAAAG